RNAcentral lists this ribosomal RNA (122 nucleotides) under Oncopeltus fasciatus (milkweed bug). The record is from RNAcentral. Lineage: Eukaryota; Metazoa; Arthropoda; Insecta; Hemiptera; Lygaeidae.
GCCAACGGCCAUACCAUGUUGAACACACCGGUUCUCGUCCGAUCACCGAAGUUAAGCAACGUAAGGCGUGGUUAGUACUUGGAUGGGUGACCGCCUGGGAAAACCGCGUGCUGUUGACACUU